AGAGUUUGAUCCUGGCUCAGGAUGAACGCUAGCGGAACGCCUAACACAUGCAAGUCGAACGGGACUUUAUUUGUAGCAAUACAGAUAAAGUUUAGUGGCAGACGAGCGAGUAACGCGUACUUAACUUGCCCUUAAGUUGGGAACAACUAUAGAGAUGUAGCUAAUUCCCAAUAUGCUCACGAUGGUGAAAUUCCGAUGUGAGGAAAGAUUUAUCGCUUAAGGAGAGGGGUGCGUCCUAUCAUGGUAGUUGGUAAGGUAAUGGCUUACCAAGCCUUUGACGGGUAGCCGGUCUAAGAUGAUGUCCGGCCGCGAUGGAACUGAGAGACGGUCCAUACUCCUACGGGAGGCAGCAGUGGGGAAUCUUGCACAAUGGGCGAAAGCCUGAUGCAGCGAUUCCGCGUGGAGGAUGAAGCAUUACGGUGUGUAAACUCCUUUUCUGGUGGAAGACGAAUGACGGUACACCAGGAAUAAGGGACGGCUAACUACGUGCCAGCAGCCGCGGUAAUACGUAGGUCCCAAGCGUUAUCCGGAUUUACUGGGCGUAAAGUGUCCGUAGCCCGGUAUACAAGUCUGUUUUCAAAUACCACGACUCAAUCGUGGGAAGGGAAUAGAUACUGUAUACCUAGAGAAUAUUGGAGGUUAGUGGAAUUUCCGGUGGAGCGGUGAAAUGCGUUGAUAUCGGAAAGAACGCCGAAAGCGAAAGCAGCUAACUAUGAUUAUUCUGACGGUGAGGGACGACAGCUUGAGGAGCAAACGGGAUUAGAUACCCUGGUAGUC
Molecule: ribosomal RNA, 777 nt
Filed under: uncultured bacterium
Lineage: Bacteria
Description: bacterial SSU rRNA
Rfam family: Bacterial small subunit ribosomal RNA
Source: RNAcentral